RNAcentral lists this ribosomal RNA (451 nucleotides) under Lodderomyces parapsilosis. RNAcentral's name for it is "eukaryotic LSU rRNA". The stretch from base 107 to 260 matches the Rfam family "5.8S ribosomal RNA". Lineage: Eukaryota; Fungi; Ascomycota; Pichiomycetes; Serinales; Debaryomycetaceae. The record is from RNAcentral.
UUUCUUUUUUUGAAAACUUUGCUUUGGUAGGCCUUCUAUAUGGGGCCUGCCAGAGAUUAAACUCAACCAAAUUUUAUUUAAUGUCAACCGAUUAUUUAAUAGUCAAAACUUUCAACAACGGAUCUCUUGGUUCUCGCAUCGAUGAAGAACGCAGCGAAAUGCGAUAAGUAAUAUGAAUUGCAGAUAUUCGUGAAUCAUCGAAUCUUUGAACGCACAUUGCGCCCUUUGGUAUUCCAAAGGGCAUGCCUGUUUGAGCGUCAUUUCUCCCUCAAACCCUCGGGUUUGGUGUUGAGCGAUACGCUGGGUUUGCUUGAAAAAAAGGGGGAGGAUCAACUAAUGGAGACGUUUUUUCCACUCUUUGGUACAAACACAAAAACAUCUUCUAAAUAAAACCUCAAAUCAGGUAGGACUACUCGCUGAAGUCCUUCACAUCAGUAAACCAAAGGGAAAA